CAAGUAUUAGUGUCCACCACUAGUCUCAAAUAUAGUAAGCACAAGAUCUCUCUACAGUUAAUGGAGUGUUACACAUGCAUAUGUUUUACCCCAAUAUAUCCUAAAAUCCGUAGGAUACCCUUAUAUUUCAGGACAGAGGGUGCUCAUCUCUCUCAUGUUAUUAUAUAUAUACAGGAAGAAGUUACACGUGGAGGGCAAAUUAAGCUAGGCCCACACAACAUAGAAACAGUAUACAGCACACAUUGCCUGGGUAGGGAGGAACAGACAGGCUUAUUAUUCAUUGUGGGAGCAGGGACUGUGAUGGUUUGCAACUUGCAUCUGAGGGCAUGAUGUGAUCAUUGGUCAUUUGGUCCAAUGUAUCUAGCCCAACCAAGAGGGAUAGGGACCAGGUAUGUGUUAGGUUGGAUCAGAUGUACAUGUGCCACUGAAUGAACUCAUCACAGGAUAAGUAGCAAAGUAAACUGGAUAUCCUAAACUGGAAUCAUUGUGUUCCGCAAAAGUAAGUUUAGCCAAGCAAGGAAUGAGUACACGAGUGUGUCUAGUCAAAAGUUGGCCAUGAUUUAGUUAUGUUGUGUUGCUGGCCCAACAUUGGUUGUGACCUUAACUUUGACGACACUGCUUUAUUUACCACACAAAUGCUCGAAUCAGAUCGGCAUUCCCUCAGAAUGUCACCCUCUCUAUAAGUCCAAAAUGUACACUACACAUUCAAUUUGGUGUUGACAUAUUAUGAGUCCAUUGAAUUGAGUAAGUGCACUGUCAACAUGAAACAUGUCCAUCUAAGGGCAAUUUCUUCUUCAACCAUGAUUUAGCUAGGUUGGAACAGCUAAAGGGAUUGUAUACAUUUUGGCCUCCAACUAAAGUUUAGCUUGUGGAUCCAAACAAGACCUAAGAAAAAACUACAUAAAUGAUACAUUUGAUCUAAAUGUCAAAUAAAUUAGUGACUAGCAGUAGUGCAGUACCAGUACUUCAUUUGUCAAAUAUUCAUUAAACAAUAAACUAAUCAUCACACAUCACUUACCCAUAAUCUAUUUGUGAAUUCCAUUUGGCAAAACUUGAUGAUGUGUAAUAUGUCCCAUGCUAAGUUCUGGU
RNAcentral lists this long non-coding RNA (1089 nucleotides) under Sorghum bicolor (sorghum). Its description in RNAcentral is "long non-coding RNA (SBIC_LNC009627)". The record is from RNAcentral. Lineage: Eukaryota; Viridiplantae; Streptophyta; Magnoliopsida; Poales; Poaceae.